This is a non-coding RNA of Sardina pilchardus (European sardine), 1051 nucleotides long. Lineage: Eukaryota; Metazoa; Chordata; Actinopteri; Clupeiformes; Clupeidae. The record is from the annotation of a RefSeq genome assembly.
GAGCAACAGAGAUCCUGUCAUCACUGUAGAGAAUUUAUUACAACACAAUAAUGAUGACACCCAUCCUCGUAGCCCUCUGGACUUUUGCCUUCUGUGUUAAAGAGUCCUAUGGACAGGUGACUGUGACUCAGACUCCUGCAGUGAAAGCUGUUCAACAGGGAGGAUCAGUCACUCUGAACUGUAAAACCAGCAGUAAUGUGUAUAAUGCAGGGACAUCAUCUCCUUAUUUAGCCUGGUACCAACAGAAAUAUGGAGCAGCUCCUAAACUCCUGAUCUAUUAUGCCAAAACACUUCAGUCUGGGACUCCAUCCAGAUUCAGUGGCAGUGGAACUCACAGUGACUUCACUCUGACCAUCAGUAAUGUCCAGGCUGAGGAUGCAGGAGUUUACUAUUGUCAGAGUUACCAUAGCGUGUUUGUAUCACUGUGGUACACGUUUGGAGGCGGCACUAGACUUGACGUUGGAAGUGACACCCGUCCCAAAGUCACAGUCCUGCCCCCCCUGCACACCAGCGGGACUUCAGCCACGGUGAUGUGCCUGGCUAACGGAGGCUUCCCGUCCAACUGGGCGCUGAGCUGGAAGGUAGAUGGGAGCAGCAGGAGCGGGGAGACCAGUGUGUUUGGCCCACAGAAGGACGGCCUGUACAGCUGGAGCAGCACCCUGACCCUCCCUCUCCAGGAAUGGAACCAGGGCCACGCAGUGACCUGCGAGGCAAAGCACGGCUCCCAGACCGUCACUGAGAUCCUGAAGAAAUCAGACUGCUCCUAGAGUCUCCUCUCCAAUGGCUGCCAUCAGCCUGAUUUAAAGUGUGUCUGAUAGGAACUCUUCAUCUCUGAUAGGAACUCUUCAUCUCUGAUAGGAACUCUGAUAGGAACUCUUCAUCUCUGAUAGGAACUCUUCAUCUCUGAUAGGAACUCUUUUCUUUUAAUUCUGUUAGUCUGCAGAUCUGAGUGGCUCUAUUUCCAUCUCUUCGAUCUGAUCAUCUGAUUUGUUCGCAGGUUUGAACUUGUAAUGUUUUUCAAAAAUGUUUUAAUAAAGGAGUUUGAUGAUGA